This is a long non-coding RNA of Alligator sinensis (Chinese alligator), 1018 nucleotides long. RefSeq lists it as uncharacterized. NCBI's taxonomy places the organism in Eukaryota, Metazoa, Chordata, Crocodylia, Alligatoridae. The transcript is spliced from 4 exons. The record is from RefSeq and is a predicted model, not a curated record.
CUGCACCCGAGCAACACCGGUCUUUUCCUGUUUCCCACGAACUCUGAACACACCACGGGAGCUGUCCCUGCCUGAGUUUUAGGGUGGACAUGCUGCUCCUCCUUGGUGUUUCCAAGCCCCGUGGUUUGCAUUUUUGUGAAAGGUUUCCUCGUCCGACUAUAUGCUGACUAAAUACAAGCUCAGCUUGUUUCCAUGUAAGCUCGCUGGGUCAUUCAGCCCCUCUGCUGCCCACAGUGACCCUCCCCAGCUCUGCCAUUACAAUCUGGGAAGGACAGCCACAGCCUUGAGACAGCAGCAAGCUUUGCUGAUUUGAUCACAUCAGCCCGUAGCUGCUCCAGCCAACGUACCCAUAAAGAAUUUUGAAUGGAGGUGCGGACCCCUUUGGGAAGUUCGAACAAAGUUGACAGCCUGUGAAGAUGCAGCACCAUUGAGAAGACACAGUUGUAAAGUGAAUUGGAAUAAGAACAGAAAACCCUUCUUGGACAUGAAGAUGCAGCUUGCUUUGAUUCCCAUACAGCAGGGACAGGUUGAUAACAGGAGCCGGAUGUGUGUUUUAAGAAGGCAAGAGGCAAACUAAUGAGACUAGAACUCCAGCACCCUCUGGUGAUGAAAUUAAGACAUCAAAAAACCCAGCAUACAAACCAACCAACCAACACAACAAAUCCUGUGCUAAUAGCUUUGCUGGUGAAUGCGCGCAGCUAUGUAACUGCAUUGCUAUGCAACUUUCGAAUAAGAAACCGGAAGCAUUAUAAUAUGUCAGAAUACAAAGGCAGUAAUCUUGCGGUUAAGGCACUGGGCAAGGACACAAAAGAUCCAACCGAAUUCAGUGUCUGGGUGUGCCCAUGUCUUCCCGUAUCCGCAGGCAAGUCACUUAGAGCUUGAAUCUCAAAGUACCUGCAGGCUCCAUGAAGAACAGCUGGAGUUUUGCACGCUUUGUAGUUCUGCAAAGCAGGCCCUUCUGUGUAUUGUGUCUAUUCACAGAUCCCCCAUGUGUAAAAUGGGGAUUAUAACACUUCCU